UACGAACCGGACAAACGUUAUUCGGAAUCAUUGGGCUUAAAGGGUGCGUAGGCGGUGCAGUAAGUCGGGUGUGAAAUCCCCCGGCUCAACCGAGGAACUGCGCCCGAUACUGCUGUGCUGGAGGAAGACAGAGGCGAGCGGAACUGAUGGUGGAGCGGUGAAAUGCGUUGAUAUCCUCAGGAACACCGGUGGCGAAAGCGACCCGCUGGGUCUUUUCUGACGCUGAUGCACGAAAGCUAGGGUAGCGAACUGG
Molecule: unclassified non-coding RNA, 253 nt
Filed under: uncultured Pirellulaceae bacterium
Lineage: Bacteria; Pseudomonadati; Planctomycetota; Planctomycetia; Pirellulales; Pirellulaceae
Description: contains 16S-23S intergenic spacer region
Rfam family: Bacterial small subunit ribosomal RNA
Source: RNAcentral